This is a small nuclear RNA of Panthera leo (lion), 107 nucleotides long. The record is from Ensembl. Lineage: Eukaryota; Metazoa; Chordata; Mammalia; Carnivora; Felidae.
GUGCUGGCUUUGCCAGCACAUAGACUAAAAUUAGAAUGAUACAGAAAAGAUUAGCCUGGCCCCUGUGCAAGGAGGACAUGCAAAUUUGUGGAGUGUUCUGGAUAACA